Molecule: microRNA precursor, 124 nt
Filed under: Pelobates cultripes (western spadefoot toad)
Lineage: Eukaryota; Metazoa; Chordata; Amphibia; Anura; Pelobatidae
Source: RNAcentral
UGUGCUGUUUCUGCUCCCCCGCCCUCAUGCGCUACUGAAUGAGACCGGGGCCGGAAUAUGACGUCAUUUUCCAGCCCCGGUCUCAUUCAGUGGCGCGCGAGGGCGGGGGAGCAGAGACAGCACA